AACUGAAACUGCGUAAAAAACAUCGCUCCUCAUCUGAUCUGUUUGUUCCAUCAGAUAGAUCAUAAAAAUAAAAACCAGGCACGCGCACACACAUCCACCAAAAGCAUUCAUUUGACCAUACCUGAUUAUGAAUGCAAGGGAGGCACCUAACAACUAUUUAGGGAUAUAACAAUGAGUCACGUGGAACAUGCACGGCAUAUAAUAACUGCUUGCCAUGGAUCAAACGAAUUUCCUCUAACUAUUAUAAUGUCUAAGUUUAAAAUUAAACGGUUCAUUUAUUUUAGUUUAUUUAGGUGAAAAGGGAGCUCGAGACCCGCUCCCUUCGCCCCAACUUCAUAAGAGUACCAUUGUCUGAAACAUUGUUGGUUGUAAGAAUUAAAUACGAAACACAAGUGUGGAUAGCUAAAAGUUUCCACAAAGCCAUCAAGUGUGCUUUGUGCAUAGGCACGAGAAAGAGAAGAAAAGGAAAAUGGCUACAUGCCAUGAUAGCAAAGGAAACAAUUAACCAUAUGUAACCAGGGGCAAAAACAGUAACAAGUUUUGAAAACAAAAGAAGA
Molecule: long non-coding RNA, 557 nt
Organism: Populus euphratica (Euphrates poplar)
Lineage: Eukaryota; Viridiplantae; Streptophyta; Magnoliopsida; Malpighiales; Salicaceae
Exons: 2
Source: RefSeq, a predicted model, not a curated record